GCAUUUUUGCUGAGCAAGGUGGGCUUCUCCGGGAUUUUAGUUCAGGAGGUAGAAUGCAGCUUGAGAUCAAGUGUCUGAUCAAAUAACUUGAACUUGAUCUGGAGAGCUCUGGGGAGCCAUAGAAGUUGUUGGAUAAAGGAGGGACAGUCGUAUAUGUUUUAGAGAUGACUGUGGAAGGCUGCCUGGAAGGAGUGAACAAGAGCCAGGAGACCAGGGAGGGAGCUUGUGGGGCAGGUCUGGAGAUGACAAGGGAGGGAUCCUGCUUUGAUGAAAGGUCUUCAGGGAAUGUCUCAGGUUACACUCAGGUGUCCUCAGAGCUAGUGUGUUCAGGGGUCUUGCCUCCAGGAUGAAAAUGAGAAGGAGUUGUCAGACAAGAACAUAUAAAUGAAGGCUGGCAUCUUCGUGAGUGCCAAUCGUUGUCCUGGUGUGGACUACUGUGGGAAUAGGGGUCUCUCCAUCCAGGGACAUGGUGGAUGGACCCUACAUCACUCCAUUCUGCCCUUCCUUUCCCUCCCAUUCUGAGGGCCUCAGUGCAAGGGCGCUGUCCAACCUCUGGUGCUGAAGCAGCCGAGAGACCCAAGCCUGCCACUCAGGAUAUGACAGCACAGCCAGUGGCCUCUACUGGAUCCUGUACAACCUCAGAAGACACCUAGACACUGGGAGUGCUGCCACCACGUGGUGCAAGAGUUCUGAGGGACCGCAAUUCUGAAGACAUUGAAUGCUCAUCUGAUCUCCUGGGAUCUCUACUAAGAUGUUGGCAGCCCAACCAGCUGGUCUGGCCCUGGACAUGCCUUCAGGGACUGGUUAUGCUUCAUGACCUGUGUUGCGGUCAUUAGUAAACAGCACCUGCUUCUAGCUUUACUGUUGGGCCUGAUUUUAUCCCUACCCUGGCUUUUCAUUGCAGCUGCUUCCUGCUCCCUCCAUGGACCUGCACAGAAUUGUCCCAUGUUUCUGUUUGUUUGGGCACCACUGAGGAAGGAAGCAUGAAGGACGCAGAGGUCAGGCCAUUCUAUUGCCCUCCUGCUGCUGGGUCUUUAAUCCUGAGAUGGCUUCAGGGGCUGGUCCUUCUCCAUGGCCCCCUCCACAUAUCUCAGCCAUUUUGCAAACCCUGGUCAGAAUGAAACAUUCCUUGGGAACUCGGGCCAUGAGAAGCAUCCUUCCUGACCACCUGACUGCGGAAACAUCCUUAUCGCAUCCUCCCGGGCGAAGGCCCAACAGCCUGACUGCAGGAACAUCCUUGCCAUAUCCUGCCGGGCAGCAAGCUCUACCGCCCAGACCCCUCCUUCCCAGUCCCAUGAUCGCCCCAGCCUGUGAGCGGCAGUUGGUGAUGGCACUAAGCUGAUUUCCUCCUCUGCAGGGUUUUGCUAGUAAUAAAGGUGUUGCUGUUGAAGCCACCAA
This 1398-nucleotide long non-coding RNA is filed under the name Homo sapiens (human). RNAcentral's name for it is "family with sequence similarity 95 member A". The record is from RNAcentral. Lineage: Eukaryota; Metazoa; Chordata; Mammalia; Primates; Hominidae.